Molecule: ribosomal RNA, 253 nt
Filed under: uncultured bacterium
Lineage: Bacteria
Description: partial 16S ribosomal RNA
Rfam family: Bacterial small subunit ribosomal RNA
Source: RNAcentral
UACGAAGGAUCCUAGCGUUGUCCGGAUUUACUGGGUUUAAAGGGUGCGUAGGCGGAUCUUUAAGUCAGUGGUGAAAGCUUGCAGCUUAACUGUAAAAUUGCCAUUGAAACUGAAGAUCUCGAGUGCGGUUGAGGUCACUGGAAUGUAUCAUGUAGCGGUGAAAUGCUUAGAUAUGAUACAGAACACCGAUUGCGAAGGCAGGUGACUAAACCGUAACUGACGCUGAGGCACGAAAGCGUGGGGAUCAAACAGG